AGUUGCGAAGGCGGCUCUCUGGACUGUAACUGACGCUGAGGCACGAAAGCGUGGGGAGCAAACAGGAUUAGAUACCCUGGUAGUCCACGCUGUAAACGAUGAGUACUAGGUGUCGGGGGUUACCCCCUUCGGUGCCGCAGCUAACGCAUUAAGUACUCCGCCUGGGAAGUACGCUCGCAAGAGUGAAACUCAAAGGAAGUGACGGGGACCCGCACAAGUAGCGGAGCAUGUGGUUUAAUUCGAAGCAACGCGAAGAACCUUACCUAAGCUUGACAUCCCAAUGACAUCUCCUCAAUCGGAGAGUUCCCUUCGGGGACAUUGGUGACAGGUGGUGCAUGGUUGUCGUCAGCUCGUGUCGUGAGAUGUUGGGUUAAGUCCCGCAACGAGCGCAACCCUUGUCUUUAGUUGCCAUCAUUAAGUUGGGCACUCUAGAGAGACUGCCAGGGAUAA
This 450-nucleotide ribosomal RNA is filed under the name Clostridioides difficile. Its description in RNAcentral is "bacterial SSU rRNA". It matches the Rfam family "Bacterial small subunit ribosomal RNA", at positions 711 to 1161 of the family's 1533-position model. Lineage: Bacteria; Bacillati; Bacillota; Clostridia; Peptostreptococcales; Peptostreptococcaceae. The record is from RNAcentral.